RNAcentral lists this transfer RNA (68 nucleotides) under Euphaedusa planostriata. RNAcentral's name for it is "tRNA-Ile". Lineage: Eukaryota; Metazoa; Mollusca; Gastropoda; Stylommatophora; Clausiliidae. The record is from RNAcentral.
UAUGCAACCGCCGGUAGAACGGAAAUCAUUGAUGUUGAUUAAUUUGAGAGCUGAUCUCUCGUUGCUGU